RNAcentral lists this ribosomal RNA (491 nucleotides) under uncultured bacterium. RNAcentral describes it as "partial 16S ribosomal RNA". It matches the Rfam family "Bacterial small subunit ribosomal RNA", at positions 29 to 507 of the family's 1533-position model. The record is from RNAcentral.
AGUGAACGCUGGCGGUAGGCCUAACACAUGCAAGUCGAACGGCAGCACAGUAAGAGCUUGCUCUUACGGGUGGCGAGUGGCGGACGGGUGAGAAUACAUCGGAAUCUACUUUUUCGUGGGGGAUAACGUAGGGAAACUUACGCUAAUACCGCUUACGACCUACGGGUGAAAGCAGGGGAUCUUCGGACCUUGCGCGAUUGAAUGAGCCGAUGUCGGAUUAGCUAGUUGGCGGGGUAAAGGCCCACCAAGGCGACGAUCCGUAGCUGGUCUGAGAGGAUGAUCAGCCACACUGGAACUGAGACACGGUCCAGACUCCUACGGGAGGCAGCAGUGGGGAAUAUUGGACAAUGGGCGCAAGCCUGAUCCAGCCAUACCGCGUGGGUGAAGAAGGCCUUCGGGUUGUAAAGCCCUUUUGUUGGGAAAGAAAAGCAGCAGGUUAAUACCCCGCUGUUCUGACGGUACCCAAAGAAUAAGCACCGGCUAACUUCGUG